RNAcentral lists this long non-coding RNA (1354 nucleotides) under Anas platyrhynchos platyrhynchos (common mallard). RNAcentral's name for it is "lncRNA (ENSAPLG00000025685.1)". The record is from RNAcentral. Lineage: Eukaryota; Metazoa; Chordata; Aves; Anseriformes; Anatidae.
GGCGAGGCUGAAGGCCGGGCUGGGGCGGUGCCUGGCUGCAGGGUGGUGGAGGAGGUGAAGGAGGAGGAGGAGGAGGAGGAAGAGGCCAGGAUAUUCCUGAAUGAACGUCUCCCUCCCUCCUCACCCCACACCUCCGCCCGCUGCCCGCCUCCCGCCCGCCACUCGCCGGCCCCGCUGCGAGGCGCAGCCAGUUUCUAUAGCGACGGCGCCGAGCCGCCGCUCCUCCGAGUAGUAACAAAGCCGGCUGCCCGCGGCCGCGCCGACACGGAGGGGAAGCGGCUCCCGAGGCCCCCCGACCGCCCUCCGCAGCACCCCGGCAGGACAAAAAGUGCACAGAGAACAUACCAAGGAUGAAUCAUCUGUUUUUAUUAUCAGUCAUUCAGGCAAUGUGGUGAUGGAUGGAUGAAUAGAUAGAGGCCAGAUCUGUGAGCCAGCUCGGCAUCUGGCAGGUAAGUUCCUGGAAGCUCACCAAAAUGUGUUCUCAAGAAUCACAUCUCUAUUUUAUGUGUUACAUUUUGCCAAAUAGUAUCCAAGAAUACAAAUCAUCUUCAGACAAUAAGAUCAUACUUGAGCAUACAUAAUUCCAUAAUUUUAGUGGAACUUAAGCACGUGCAUACUUGUACAAGUGUUCAAGAAUCUGAAGAAGGAUGCUUUCCUGGAUGGGGAGAUAGAGAAACAGCUCUUACAAGACUUAAAAAGAGUGAAGCUGAAUGGAAAAUUAAUGGCAUGCAGGUGAUAUAAAAACAGAACAGUAAUAUUGGGUGUUGAUGGAUCCCAAAAAAUUCUCAGAUGAAUUAAGUUUCUAGUAAAUCUUAUGUCAUCUGUCUGUUAAGAAGAUAUGAAUCUGUCUUAUGUGACUGCUUUGCCUGUCUCUGUCACCUGACAGGCAAGUUAAAGCAUUUUAUAAUCCUGGAAUGGAGAAAAAUUGAGUGUAGUGCUAUUUCCCUAUCCUUCCCUUGGUGUAACUCCCAAGACAACUUGUCCUGCAGUGGUAUGCUGUGCUUAUGGAUUUAGUAACGUUUUCAUUAUAAAGAUUAUUUUUAUGAAUUUGUUGUAAUGUGGCCAAUGCAAUUGAAUCAUGCUGAAGUGUGUUUGUUAGGGACUGAGGAUAAUUUUCAAUAUUUUUAUCUCUAUAAAUAUAAUGCUUAAGUAAUUCAUCUUGAUAUAGUCUAAUUAAAAUACAAGUUCUCAUUGAUUUUGGGGCAGGGAGGAGGGAAGCAUAUCACCAUAAUAAGUAGAAAGAAACUUCCUGGGGUUAUUUUUUUUCAUGCAGUUUUCUUAUUCAGAUGUGGCUAGGAAUAAGUUAAACAGCCUUCUGAAUUAAUUCCAUUAAAAUCAAGUCUUCUGCUUAUUU